GCUGGCGACCGGCGCACGGGUGAGUAACACGUAUCCAACCUGCCGAUGACUCGGGGAUAGCCUUUCGAAAGAAAGAUUAAUACCCGAUGGCAUAGUUCUUCCGCAUGGUGGAACUAUUAAAGAAUUUCGGUCAUCGAUGGGGAUGCGUUCCAUUAGGUUGUUGGCGGGGUAACGGCCCACCAAGCCUUCGAUGGAUAGGGGUUCUGAGAGGAAGGUCCCCCACAUUGGAACUGAGACACGGUCCAAACUCCUACGGGAGGCAGAUG
This 266-nucleotide ribosomal RNA is filed under the name uncultured bacterium. RNAcentral describes it as "partial 16S ribosomal RNA". It matches the Rfam family "Bacterial small subunit ribosomal RNA", at positions 87 to 351 of the family's 1533-position model. The record is from RNAcentral.